RNAcentral lists this long non-coding RNA (867 nucleotides) under Homo sapiens (human). RNAcentral's name for it is "HSALNT0328428". The record is from RNAcentral. Lineage: Eukaryota; Metazoa; Chordata; Mammalia; Primates; Hominidae.
AGGAAAAAGUGGGUUUUAAAAAAUUAAUUUUAUCACAUUAAUCAGAUGUAACUUUAGUUAAAACUGAAGCCAAAAUUCCAGCAUUUGUCAAAAUUCUAUAUAGAAGGCAGUCCCAGCUGUCUGAAUAGGAUUAUGUACACAUAAGCUGUAUGAAAUGAGCUCAUGCCUCAUGAUGUCAAGUUCUGUUUUUUGUCUGCAGUUCUUUUGUUUAUUCUCAGUUGCCAGACUUUAAAAGACUUCACUGUUUACCAUUUUAUAAUUAAGGUUUAAUUGUGUCUAUUUAAUGUGUUAUUCUGUUCUGUUCUCACAGAUGCAAACUUCGUUUUUUAAAAACAUGAUAUCUAAAAAGCAGAAUGUGCAGAGUCUUUUCUUUGCCAAGCAAAACAGUUUCCACCACGAGGCCCAGUAUGGUGGUGAGAAGAACCAGAAGGCACUCAAAAUUUAGGCCAGAAGGAUACGGUCUUCUAAGAAGACUUCAAGGCUGUUAUAAAGACCCAGUGGUGGGAGAAACCUGAUCCGGUAUAGCGGGGCCAGAAGAAGCUGCGGGACCAUGCCGCGGGGACAAGGCAAGGAGUUUCGCCAGGAUGUUGAUCUCCUGGUUAUCUACACUUCCGCCUCAGUAUGAUCUGAAUUAUUAAUGAGAAAGAUUAAGAUACAGAUUCCUUCCUUCAAGUGCCUUAGUAGUCACAGACAGGAGGUUAAUUAUAAGACUAAAAGCAAUCUUGGGUUGUUAGAAGAACUUAAAGGAAAACACCUUUCAACUUCUUGUUAUCAAUCAAUCAUUUUUGUCUUUAGAAAUCAAGAAUUUGAACAAUAACAGCUGCUUUCAGAAAUAAACCGCGACUUUGUGCAGCGUGUAUUACCUGA